Molecule: long non-coding RNA, 1266 nt
Organism: Suricata suricatta (meerkat)
Lineage: Eukaryota; Metazoa; Chordata; Mammalia; Carnivora; Herpestidae
Exons: 2
Source: RefSeq, a predicted model, not a curated record
UCCAGCCGCAUUCCCCACUGGAAGCCUGGGCCCAGGGUGUAGGGGGUGUGGACACAGCCAGGCCAGUGCAUGCAGUUGGCGUCCGGGGAGGUGGUAGUACGCAGAGGAAAGGAGGUGCUGGGAGUUUCAGGGAGGUGUGGGGCUGAUAUAACUGAACAUCAAGACUCUACCAUUCUUGGCACUGGGUCUACCCUUCUCCCUGGUGUCUAGUUCUGCAGUUCAAGACCCCCUCCCACACCUCCCAGAAACUCUCCUAGCACAGAAACAGCUUUGUUUGGGGCUGCCCUGGCUGAAGCUGUGUAAGAGAGGAGACUGGCAUAGUUGUGCGUGGCAGUGGUGACAAGUGGUUUGGCUAAGUGGAGCUCCCUGCCUAGAACACCCUUUCUCACUGAGACCCCCACCCCCUCAUCCUCCUUGGACCUUCUACCAUGGAGCCCACCGCUGCCAAUAGACCAGAGCCUGGCUGCUACCUGAGGCCUCGGUGUAUGGCUCCAGGACAUCUGACAUCACAAUGAUCAGCCAAUGAGCUGCUGACAGUGGUGCAGGAGAUGCAUACAAGGUCUGGCACACCUGUUGCCCAGCCUUUGCUCAAGCUGCAUGGAAGACAGGAAAGUGAUAGAGACUCAAUCAGCCACCCUGGAAUCUUGAGAAAACAGCAGGACUAUGCCCGGGUUGGAGAGUGGAAGCUACUGGAUGCCCUAGCCAGCCCAUGGUAUGCACCAGCACUCCCCUCACCUGCAUGCCACACACGCGGACACCAAUGACAGCAGAUGUGCUCUGCUGGCACUUGCGGAUCUGGUUGGCUGCCUUCUCCUCUGAAGCAUCGUCACCAUGCUGGCGGGUACCCAUCUUGAGGUCCAGGACACAAGGCACCUCAUAGCGGGAAGUCAGGUUUUCCAAUAAGAUGAAUUCUGAGUGGUUAAGGACAAUCCUCCCUCUGAAGAAAAGGUGCUGCUACAUGGAGGCUUUGGUGCUCCAGGGCACAAAGCCUGCACACAGUGCCUCCAGAAGCCCAAGUCCACAGAGGGCCCCAUCAGUCUGCUAUUCCCCAUGCAGGGAGCCCAAGGCUGACUAGAGGGCUCACUUUGAAGAACUGAGUUCUUGUCAGGGAAGUGGCCUGAGAACUGCCUGCAUCUGGACUCAGCACAGGCCUGGGCAACACACACACACCACGGCCGCAACUCAGCGAGGUCUGGGGACAGGGCUCCACACCAGACGGCCCUAAAUUACAAAUGGAACAUCAAUUAAAUAAAUCUUAUAACUUUC